Molecule: long non-coding RNA, 2694 nt
Organism: Nelumbo nucifera (sacred lotus)
Lineage: Eukaryota; Viridiplantae; Streptophyta; Magnoliopsida; Proteales; Nelumbonaceae
Source: RefSeq, a predicted model, not a curated record
CACUCGGUCAGCUUCUCCUUAUAAAAAAGAUCACCCCUCUACCCUUCGAUGCUUCCAUGGUUGGUCUAGGGUUUCUCCGGUUGUGUAUACUGUUCUGUGGUUGGUGGUGAGUCUGGUGACUGAGCUCUGGAGGGUGUUUGUGACCUCGGUUACCCCUUUUGGGUUCUGGCGGAGGGGUGUGGAGGACUGUGGUUGUGUAGGGUCUUGAGGGGGUGGAAGAACUUAGAUUUGGCAUUUUGGGGUUAUGGGGUGGAGCUCCUUCAAGUCCAAUAUUGGUUCUUUCUGGUUAGAUAGAGCUGCUGAAUUAUGGAUUCCACAGCCCUAUAUCAUGCUUGGAGGGAUUUGGAUAGGUUUGUGGUUUGCAUAUUUCAGGAGCUGCAUUAUCCAGAUGAGAACCUUGUUUGGAUUGAAGGGAGCUCUACAUCAUCAUCUCUGAUACCUCUUCUGUUUAUCUAUUUGAUUGUUAACUUUUUUCCUGCCUUUUAUCUAUACGCAGUUCUAGCGAAAACAAAUUCUUUCAUCACAGUAGGAUUUUAAUCUCAUAAUGUUUUGUUUUUCUUUUUUGUCCGUCAUAUUUUCCUGUAAUUCUGAUCUUCUUUUCAUGGAAUUUAGCCUCAUUAAUCGAUCUUUCGAGAAAGUCUUGACUUGCAGGAUGUAUCAAGAACUUGUAUAACAUGAAGCAAACGCCAACUGGUCGAAAAGAAACUUUUCAAGUAUCUAUGCUUUGAAUCCAGGUAACGGGGACUGUCCGGUUUUCUUCUUGUGAAAGUUGAGGUGCAAUCCUGAAAGAUCUUGCACAAAAUCGCAAUCAAAAUAAUGUACCAAAAUCUUGGGGAAGUUUAGGCAAUUAACUGUUCAAUUUAUUCUUGUAGAUGAGAAAAAUAUUCAAGGUUGGAAAAAGUGUAGAUAUGAUUCAUGAUAGACUGCGUUAUGUUUCUCUGAUUUUCUUCCAUUUUGCUUUUGGAUGUUCGUGGCCUUGCGCUAGUCAUUGUAAACUAUGUUACAACCUCGAUCGUCGAAAGAUUUGUGGUGCAACUAGUCAAACCCGAUGAUCUACUUUUAUCCUUGAUUGUUCCGAUUCUCUGGAAACCUCUUCUGGGUUUGGUGGUGUUUGGAUUCCAUAUUUGGUGUUUUCUGUUUCUGAACCUGCCAUCGAAACAUUACAAAGGUCUGCAAUUGUACUGCUUUUCUGGGUCUGUUGAAACGGUGAGUCGCAAAUGGGUCUGGUCUGAAUUGACCGAGUUUAACAGGCUUGAGUUGUUAAACUGCCCGGUUAUGGCCUGGAAGGAUUUGGAAUUUUGUGCAGUCCAUUAAAAGACUUGCUGCAUAAUCUGUACAUUCCGACAAUUAAAGACCCCACCUUCUCAAUACUACGCACAAAGAGGGGGCCGAUCAGACGAGGCAGUUGAGAGCUUGAGCCAAAAGCUGUUGUACCACCAUUGCCCAAUUUCACUUGUUAAAAGACGACGGACUCGCGAGUCGCAAUUUCCUGUAGCUAGCUGAGAAAGCUCCUGUAUCUGCGUGUACCAAUAUCCUGGAGCAUAGUGUGUUUUGUGAUGAUAAGCUGCUAGCCUUGUAUUUGGAAUUUUGUGCAGUCCAUUUAAAGACUUGCUGCAUAGUCUUUACAUUCCGACAAUUAAAGACCCCACCUUCUCAAUACUACGCACUAAGAGGGGGCCGAUCAGACGAGGCAGUCGAGAACUUGAGCCAAAAGCUGUUGUACCACCAUUGCCCAAUUUCACUUGUUAAAGACGACUGACUCGCGAGUCGCAAUUUCCUGUAGCUAGCUGAGAAAGCUCUUGUAUCUGCGUGUACCAAUAUCCUGGAACAUAGUGUGUUUUGUGAUGAUAAGCUGCUAGCCUUGUAUCUGAGUUUUAGUUCUGUGGAUCUGAAAGAAGCGACGAACUAAAAACGAUUAUCCUGAGAUUCCUAAUUUUUAGCCCUUGAUGAUGGACAUGUGAUGAAUCUGAUGCGUAGUGUAUCCUCUUACUUUAAGUUCUCACCAACCAUUUAAAAAUUUUUCUGUGUUUUUCUUGGGGUGAUUAAACAAUGUGUUGGGGAACCUGUGUGGCUCCACGUUUCGGUUCUGCAUCUUCCUUUUAAGGACUUGAACCACCGACCACAAGUCUCGUCCUUGUUGGGGUAAUCAAACAAUAGGGACUCGUUCCAUACGAAAGUACGUUCUGUUGUGGAGUGCAACUAGAAAAACCAUAUAGUGUUGACUCCAGAGUCGAGAUGUAAUUGCUUCGUGCUGUGGGGAUGAAAUCGGAUUUGGUGCUCACAAACGAGUGAUAAUAUGUAGUUGCUCGUUUUUGGCUUCUUUUGAAUAAUGUGGAUCCUGACAUUCCAAUUUGUUAGACGAGAGGGUGAGGUUAUAGCUCAAGGUUCUGGUCUGCUAGAUGUGGUUUUGUUGAGUUUGGAAUUUAGAUGCAAUUGCUAAUCGACAGCCUUAGGCUGUGUUUGUGUCGCGGUGUAAAAAUGCACUUGCUGGAGUUGAGUGACGAUGGUAGGACUUUGCGAGGGAAAAUUCGUGCGCAUUUAGGCUGUGUGUUUGUUCCUUUGUGGUGUAGAACGUUAUUGGUAUAAAACGUCACCAUUGGUUCGGUUUUGUCAGUGAUUGGAUGGAGGCUUGGUUUAUAUUGUAAAUCCAUGUAAAAUGUCAUUUGUAGUAAAGUUUUACAUUGAUUAGUCACA